AAACAUCCAUUACAAGUGUAUCAAAUUAUCCCAAUUGAGUGCCAUAAUGCCCUAUAAUAUAUCUAUAGAAAAGUCCCUAAUAAAUACUACCAAGUAGUGUUAAACUUGGACUAGCCUUGCUCUUGCUCCUCGACUCCCCAAAGCUGGAAAAACUCUGCACAAAACUGUGAGGGUGUGAGUUGAAAAAGCUUAGUGAAUAGCCAUAAAUUCAAUAAGUAAAUCACACCAAAGACAUACUUAAAACAAGGCAAAUCAUGUAUCAAAUUUUAGGUAUAUGAUCCAUAGUUUCAGUUAUAUUUUCACACACUCAAAUAUAGCAUUCAAUUGACUGAAAUUGCCAGCAGCAAUGCAACAUCAUAACCUCAUAAUUCCACCUGUUAUUCCAUGAGUAAAAUAACAUUUAUUAUGUCAUAUGAAAACAUAAUAUAUUUAAUAAUCACACACUUGUAUUGGCAAAUGACAUCCAUGGCAGAAUAGGAAGAUGUGAUCAUGCAUUGCAUAAACGGAUCUCCAUAUCUCCCAAAUAUCGAAUACAA
This 536-nucleotide long non-coding RNA is filed under the name Gossypium barbadense (sea-island cotton). RNAcentral's name for it is "long non-coding RNA (GBAR_LNC015008)". The record is from RNAcentral. Lineage: Eukaryota; Viridiplantae; Streptophyta; Magnoliopsida; Malvales; Malvaceae.